CAAGCCAUCUUUACCUGGCAAUUUUAAAUCUCCAAAAUGAAACUUUAAUGCUCUACCCCUUUCUCUAUAAAUUGUCAAAUUUAGAUACUGAUCUAGUCGGAACGAAUCAACAAAAUUAUAUAGUUCAAAUUAAAGAUAUGGCUAAGUCUCAAUUUCGGUAUGCUGCAUUUCUUGCUCUCUUCCUGUUCUUCCUCAUUGCAUCAACUGGAUUUGAUUGAAUGCUGGGAAAUAUGGUAUUGGCAGAUCAUCAGGGGAGGCUUACGAUGAUCAAAUAUUUUUCAAUCUCAUGGCUGAAAUUUUAAAGAGUUUGAUCUCCUUUUCACAGCGAAGCAAUGGUGAGGCUGUUAACCAAUUUUUCACGUGGUGUGGUGAGUCCUUAUUGUGGGUUACUGCCUUACUGGUAUGAAAGGAAAGGACGAAGGGGUCAGGCUGUGUAAGGGGUUGCAGCGAUGAUAUCUAAACUUGGGUCUUUAACUACAGUUAGUUUUUGAGUAGGGUAAAAUAAAUAUAACACUGUUUAAAAAUUAAUUGUACAGGUGGCAGCCAUCUAACUGGAGGAAAGAUUAUGGAGGGGAUCUCAACUCCAAAAACGGAACUCCCCUCCCAACAAUUCCCUUUUUUUCAGGUGAUUCACUUCCAUCAGUAGAAGACAGUUGACUAAUAAUAACUGAGGAAGCAUGCUAAAGUCUGCAGGAUCAUCUAAGUAUGUAUGAGAUCAUACAACCUGAAAAGCUGAAGAUGGUUUUGUAUUGCGUUUGAUAGAAAAUUAUGGUAGUAAAGUAGAUAAUUGAUCUUCAAAUGAACAUCCCAGCACUACAAAAGCUAGAUGCAAUGCUUCUGGAAUUCCAUCAUCAAGUAUAUAUGGAUUGGAGAUUCGCUUUUGUGUCGUUAAAAUUUUGAAGUACCUUUUGUCAAUAUAAUAGCGCGAAAUUGUGGUUCCUGCAAUUCCGAUAAGAUACUGCCUUUAAAAUGUACACUUUAAAUUGAAAGGUGAUAUAUUGAUCUUUCCUUCCUGUAAUGUUAUUUCAGUUGAUAUGAUAAGAACACUGUUUGGGUAUUUGUGAUGGGAAGCAUAUGAUUUGAAAUAUUUAAACAAGGAUACUAAUCCUAAUAAAAAUGAAGUUGAUGUUGAAGGAAAUGAAGAAAGGCGAGAUACCAAAACAGGUACAUGCUAAGAUAGGAACAGAGAGUCAGCAGAGAAA
Long non-coding RNA from Lycium barbarum (goji berry), 1202 nucleotides. RefSeq lists it as uncharacterized. The transcript has 6 exons. The record is from RefSeq and is a predicted model, not a curated record. NCBI's taxonomy places the organism in Eukaryota, Viridiplantae, Streptophyta, Magnoliopsida, Solanales, Solanaceae.